CCCCGCCACCUCCCUCAGCGCGGCGGGACGGGCAGCGGCGCCGCGGCGGGAGGGCCGAGGUCCGAGCCGCCCGCCCCGGGCAGCGCCGUGAGGGGCCGCCCCGUAGCCGUGCCCUGCCGUUACCUGGGAGAGACGGGGAAAGACCCUCGGAAUCUGAACCUUGAGAAAUUGUGAUGGAGUGGCAACACAGAAGGAUUUAGUCAACAUCUUUCACACAAGCUAUUUUUACCCUGGAUGUGUUCUGCGAUUUGUUUCCCACACAGCAUUGAAACUGGCACAGCUGAGGGAAAGAAAACAGUGCAACUCUUGCCUUGCAUUUGGAGCUGAAGCAUUAUCAAGGACAGAAAAGAAGAUGCAUCUCUUUUUUUUUUAAUCUUCUGCAGGUACAAGCAGAGUUUUUCUGGUGUAAAUGGAGAGGCACAGGGCUCUGUGGGAGUGAUGCACUUCUAGGAAUUUAUUUCACCUGGCUGUGAGUGGCUCAGCAAAAUAAGAUGGGAAGAAAGAAACAGGCCCAAACCUUCAAAUAACUGUGGAAGACUGAAAGAACCCAGUGAAUGAGUCCUCACAGGAGAAUGGAAACCUUUCCGAGGGAGCUGAUAUACCUACCGCCAGUGCUAAGCAUUUUGUGUUUUGUUUUUUAAAGAAAAGCCAAGUUACACUAGGACGUAUCACCUGCCCAAUUUUAAGUUGAAGCAAAUAAAUAGUCUCAGGUUUUGCCUUCAAUUUCCUGUCCAGUGCCAGUUUUUCUGGGCCCAGCGUGGGUCUUCUGUGAAAUGCUCUGACAAUUUUGGGGCCGGGAAGGCAGCUCCCCGGCCCUGUUGCCUCCACGGCGGCUGAUGAAACACAGAAGAGCUCCCGGCAGCCAUCGAGCCCGCAUCCCGACAGAUUGCCUCUCCUUUUUUGCCCUCGCCGGCUGCUCUCAGCGCAGGGUUGCCUGCAAGGAUACUUGUUCAGUGUCGCCUUUCAGGGAGGGAGUGUGUCCAGUUCCCUUUUAGAAAAGGCAAUUUUUCAAAUUGUCCUUGUUUGAAAGAAAAUACUGUGUUCGGCAGCAGUGAAAACAGAGGGCUAAGCGCUUUCUGGCGCGUGCUGCGCUGAUGUGAUGAGGCUGGGCCUUGAGCCCACCAAGUUUUGCUCAUUUCUGUACCACGUAGCGGUAAUUCAGCAUGUACGGUAUUUUUACUUUACCCUAGAGCUUCCUCCCAGGACCCUGCCAGUAAUUUGAUCCUGCUUUGAUAAAUCAUCACGGAGACACAACAUGGAACUGUAGCCCUAAUGACCUGUGUUAAUUAAAAAUCAAAUGACACUUUCUCAGGAGAAAGUUAUUUAGUUCCAGUGUUUUCCUAAGAUAAUUAUACCAAGCCAGCCUGUUACCCUCCCCUGUAGCUUCAUUUAUUGUUCACUAUGUCUAAACUCCCGCAUGCCGUUGCACGGCCUUAUUUUGUCAUCUUCCACCCCAUCAUUUCAAAAUAAGUUUCCUAUCUGUUUAUAAGUACAGCAAAAGCUUUAAAGUCUUGAGGAGAGAGAUGCCGUAUCUUUGCUGUGACGCUGUACCGUCUGCCGGUUCAGUUUCAGUGCCUCGUAGCACCAGGUUGAGAAACUCUUUGCCUGUUCAUCUCCCCUGGCUUCUAAAAUAGCAAGAGAUAAACAGGAAAAAGGGGAGACACCUUCUGUUUGAUAUUGUUUGCCUCUCAAGUCAGUUCAGGCUCUGAUAUUAAUAACUUCCUGUUUUGUUGUAAGUCUUCUGACAAGUGAAGAGCCUCCACGUGCGCUGGCAUUUCAGCCUGAACUUGGGCAACUACACAACUAGUGUGUUCCCAGGCUCUGGGCUACAAAUUCCGGUUUUCUGCUUACCUUCAGGCUAAAAUUUCAGAAUUGGAAGUCAAAUCGCUGAAAGUCAGGUGCCUAAACCCACAGUUAGUUGCCAAAAUAAGAAUGACCUGACUGUCACAACAGUUGAACACCUGCAGCCCCUGUAGGUAUCUUGGGACUUGAGAGGGUAGAAUCUAUACAAAUCAGACUAAAUUUGUGUAGGAGCUGAAAUAAGGAUCCUACUUUGAAACUCCGGAGUGCUGUUCAUUGCUAAGGAUGUCCUCGGAAGCUAGAAACAGGAAAGAGGAUCUGCAGAAAUGUGGAGAAAGGUGCAUUUGUGUAAUAUCACUUGUGCAAGAUGCUUAUGAAACGCGGUGCGUGUUGCAUUGCAUCGUUUCUCACAUACGCUUCAAUUAGUAAGGCUCUUUCUUUUCCAGCUACCCAGACAACUUUCCCUGUGAACUGAACUAAUUCCUCUGGAUAAUAUGCUGUUUUGCUGCCUGCUGGAGAGGUGGAGCCCACCCAAUCGCCUCACGCCGGUGUACUGCCCGUGGCUGCUGCUCUGUGCAACCGGGAACCGUCUCCCGAUCCUGCUGCGCAACAGGACAGCUCGGACUUAGCAGUUCUAGGAGAUUUAAAAAAUCAAACCAGCUAAUCAAGAUUUAAAGCAGCGCUGGGUUGAAAAGACUAGCAAGCGGUCCAGCUGUGAGUUAAUUCAUUAGUUGCAGUAAAUAUCGCUAGAAGAGCUUGUCAAAAGGAAAUGUAAAGCAGAUGAAAAGAAACGUCCUUAAAGUGAGUGUCAAAGGCUUUUGCAGCAGUCAUCCAGGGGACUGGGAGACUCCGGGCUUUGGAGAGAAAAGCAGGGUGAAAGAAAUAAAAAUUUCAGUACGGAGGAUAAAGUACCAGUUCCCACUGAGCGAUUAUAAAGGACACAAUCUUACCACUGCAGGGACCUAAUUAGAGAGUGAAUCUCAAAACAGUCCAAUAUCUCCUCCAGGACACUGAGAGACCCAAACGAGCUAAAGCAGUCCGUUCAGACCAGCAGCAUUAGGAGGCUCUGCUGCUUCAGGGGCACGCUGAAAUGCCAGGUUUAUCUAGCUGUAGUAAUUUCCAGUGUUCUUGAACCCUGUAGUCUCUUCAGCACUCACUUAGGACCAGCUUCAUUUUCUUGCCUGGCCAGCACAGCGUCAGCCUGGUCCUACAGAAGGCAGCAGCGGGCUCCCACUGCGGUGGGAGGAAAGGCACCAGCGCCCGUUUCCCCAGGCAAACAUAAAGUUAAUUGUCAACAUUAACAAGAGAGAAUUUCACAUUUCUAUGACUGAUCUGCUAAUUCACUGCUUUCCCUGGUCUCCAAAACAUCUCGUGCAGACCAGGUGGGAGUCCCCAGGCCUUCCUGGAGACUGCUGCCAGGCAGCGGGUGUGUGCAUUCGUUCGCUUAAGCCUUGGGGCAGGGCUCAUCUCUCUUGCUAUUGUCUGUCUGGGACACUGUCACCCUUCUCUCCCUCCUUUUGGAAAUGUGGAAGCACUGGCCGUAGCUUGAGGCUAACCUUUGGCAGCAAUGCCCAUCCCUGCUCCAGCUGCAGUGCGUCACCUCCUCAUCGGUGUGCCAAGCAGGGAACUCCCCAAGAGGUUUUUUGAUUUUUUUUGGUGUUUUUUCUAAGCAGCAAGGCAUUUUUGCUGGAUUUUAUUUAAGACUAGUCAGUUCGGGGCCCUGGUCCUCAGCACUCCCCUCCUGGUGCUGGAAGGGCUGCGUCAGCAGGAGCCAUGCUCUGGGGUGAGUGAGCAGCGGGGUCAGCAGGAAGGAAUUAUUUUAGCUGGUAUUGCCUUUAAAGGCACUUUGUAUGUAACCCUGUCCCUGCAGAGUCAUUCUGUGCAGGGUGGGCUUCAGGGGAGCACAGGGAUCUCUUCCAGUGUCGCUACUACCAGCAGACACGUUUUUCCGUAGCAGGAUUUUCCAGGCAUAGGGAGGGCUGUGCCUUCUGAGACCGCUCGGGGAGCUCAGCGCUCCUGGGAAGAGCAGGGAUGACUGCUCGGGAUGGGUAGAUGCAUCUUGUACUUGGAGGGGGGCGGGUGGUGGUUUAUGAAUCUCCUCUGUAGCGGGGAGGAGGUAAGUGACCUGCCCAGAGAGAGCUCAGCACUGCUAACAUCCGACAAGGACAUUUUCGUAACCGAGAUAAAUAAACAGAUGCCUUUUUUGCUCCAGGGAGAUAAUUUCUUCUGUGCUACUAGGCUGAGACCGUUUGCUUGGCUUAACCUGUGUUUUUACCGUAUGCAACAAGCCUUAACCACUUCAUUUGGGGCUGUUUUUCAUUUGGGGCCAAUAUGAAACAAUUCUGGCAUUUCUUUUCUAUUUUUCUGGCCCUUACACGUUUCUAAUGUCUCCACUUCUGUAUAUAUGUUUUCUUCUCUAACAUUUCAGUUCUCCUCUCUUGUAAUAUUUUAAAUCCUUAAUUGCCUGAUGCUGCAGAUGGAGAGUGUUAGUUACUUUCCGUCACCACUCUGGCCACGACGACUUCUUUUGCUUGACAAGUUGAUCACCUUGUCAAGGUGAAUGUUAAGUCUGUCUGGAGUAUCUCCGUGCGUUUUGUGCCAGAUUGCAAUUGCAAGCUGGCUUCUUAUCAGACAUGCUGUUUCUCCAGACACAGAAUACCGGGAGUAAAACUGGGAUUUUGAGGGGCUUUUUUUCCCCUACUUCGCUAAUGAGAUUGACGUUGCUCCAGUUUAUACCAGUAGGAUUUAGAUGGGUGUAUCUCUAAAUGUGACAAAGUAAUGCAUGGCAAGCAAACCCAACUGAUAAAGAUAAAACAAAUCGAUUGGUAACGAAAAUUCCCAUCCAUGGCAACCACCUAGGAAAGCCCGCAAGUAGUGGUUCGGAGUUAAUAACAAGUGCACCAAGCCUGCCAAAGCUGCUGGAGAUGUGACUAACAGGCAUCUCCAUGGAGCCAAAGAAUUGCGGCGGUGCCUGUUCCCUGCUGCAUCAGCACGUCCAAAAGGGCAUCGUCCUGGUGAGCGGUGGGGCUGACAGGCUCCCCCGAAGUGCCAGUUACGGGCAGUGGGGACCAGAAAAAGGAGCCUUUGCGAAGGCAUUGCAAAAAUGGCUUAACGCUAGGUAGGCUCAUCGAGGUGCGAAAGAAACUUCCUCUCCGUUGCACAGCAGGGUGUCGCUGGGGUUGGUGUCUCAGAUCUUGCCACCAGCACGUGAGCCCAUAGCUCCCCUUCACAGACCCAGUGCACAGUGCGGGACCCAGUUAUGUCUCCACUUGCCACAGUGGCUGUACACAGCACCAAACCUUGCCUUCUUUUGCCAUGCACAUGCCGCCCGGGCCUCCAGAGACCUUCAAAUGGUCACAUUCUGCAUGACCCCUAAAAGAGGGUAGACAGCAGUUGCAGCGCGGAAGCUGUAGCAUCAAUGGUGCUUUCAGAUUGCCCGGCAGACAUAAUUGAGGCAAAACAGCAAAACCCAAGUAAAUGAAAUGCAUUUCAUAGCAGUUCCUGAAGAACAGGUCGCGUUGUUUGUGACCUGCCAGCCAGGUCAAGAGGGCUGGAUCUUCCACAGAGAAAUUGCUGACAUUGGCCCCAAAAUGUCAUUGUUAAGGUAAGAAAAACAUCCAAAUCUCUCUUUUCCUAGUUGAUACAUUAUAAGGAAGUGGCAUCCAGACCACUAUAGGUAUUAAGAACUUGGGAAACAACACUAAGCAAUACAAAGAACAAAAAUCAGUGGGUGUUUUCUGAGAAGAUAAGGAAACGGAGUCUGAUGCUACUGAAUGCUUCAGGAGAAUAAGUCCUAAUAGCUGCAGUAGCCAAACAUCACCUGGGACCAGAGUGUGAACAACUUUUUUGUGAUAUUACAUAGCAAAUGUCUCAACUUCUUGAGCUCAUUGCAGAACAUAAAAGUAAAGGUUGGCCAGCAUUAUUAUCUGGUGGUACAGGAACACUCAUUUCUCUAACCAUGUGUGGUGGUAUCUGACUAUCUUGGAUAUCUGAGCAGGCAGGUCAAAGGAAAGCAGUGUGUAGACUUGGUUCUCAAAGACACCUAUUUCCAGUAAGCAUGAACUUCAUUUUCUCCUAGGAAUUCAUUUUUCCUGUCGUAUUCUAACAGAAGUAAUAAAAUAAACAAAGCAUGGUGCACUUGUAAGAUGAACCUCAGGACCAUGCCUCUACAGCCAAACCAGCUCUGGAUGCAGUGUGAGCACUGAGGGCAGAUGUUGGGCCACCCUUCUCCCUGGCAGAUGUGGUCCUGGGGUUCUUCUCCUCACAGGAUCCCAUAGUGAGACCUUCGUGAAGAGCAGAGACAGAGCUUUUCUUGUGUCAUACUCUACAUAAUGAGGCAAAGAUGUGUUGGGGUGUUCUAUGUAUUGACCUACCUCAGAUCAGCUUCAUGCAACAAUGGAAGAGUAGCAUGCAACCACCUUCUUUUUUUUUUUAUUUUUUUCCACCCAGUGUUUGUGGCAAGGACAAAAAGACCCUUUUACUGUCUGAGUUUCUGACAUUCCUGCUCCCCCUGGGUAGAAAGGAAUCAUAGGGACCUCUUCUCUCUCUCCGCCUAUGAGGCAAGCACUGACUAUUGGUGUGUGUGAUGGGCAAGAAGCUCUCUCUGGACAGACCUUGUUCUCCCCAGGGACCUGCACCCCACCACUCCCUGCUCUGGGGUGGUGUGUUGGGACUCCCUGGCCUGUCCCUUCCUGGGCUACCCCUCUCCUGUGGCUCCGAGCCCUGCCACUUUCUGUGUUUGGAAAGGCAGAGGUGGGGGGGCAAUCUCCCAGGGGUUCCGGAGGAGUGGAGUGUCUCUGUCAGGGGUAUCUCCUUACAGGAGAUGAAGAAGGUGUUUCCGCUGUGGGGGCUGGAGGCAGGAGCAGUCACACGCUUCCCGCUGCAGCCGGCAGCACUCUGCUUUUUCCCAUCAUUUAUUACCUGACAACUGUUUUGGUGUGUUUCCUUCCAGGCCAGGAGGGCUGGCACAUGGGACACCUCCUCCUGGUGCACUGCCAAGGACGGCAGCAGUGUCCUCCUACCAAGGGUGGUGGCCCCCGGCCCUGGGCACGCAGCAUCCAUCCCCACUGCUCACCCGACCCUCCCCUCAAGACCUACUUUUGCUGGGAGAGGCAAGGUAACCUCGCCACUGAAAAUAGCUGGGACGGCAGCCAACGGAGAUUAAUGGCAUCAUUAACGUCCCCAGUUUAUUUAUAGGCUUAAAAAUGCCUUGGACCUGCAAACUGAGCAGAGUCGCUGUGUGUAACGCAGGGACUCCCAGGUCUCCUGCUUCUGCCUUUCCCCUUCCUGCUAUUUCAUCCUGAUCGCUGGGACUGUAAACCUAUUUUGUAAAACUUCCUAACCAGGGGCAUACACACAGAUAUUUUUUUUCCCCAUGAAUGCUGUAUUUGUCUUGUCUCCUUCCUCCGCCCAACUCUUUCUGUGCUCACUGUGUCCUGUGGUCCCUCUUUGGGAAAAUUCUCUUUUUGAUGAAUUACUUGAGGCACAGGCUGAGCAGUCGUCACAGGAAUUAGUGAUUUUCCGCCUUGGGUUUUAAACUGUGAGCUCUGUGGGAGGAGGAGGACUGGGAAUCUCAUAGCUGUGGAGAGCACCUAGGACAUGUGGGGCCCCAGCGAGACAUGCAGAUGUUGUUAAUGACCAUGGAGGCCUUCCUACGGGAGCCAGCAGAGCCGGCCCAGCUCCCAGGUCCUCCAGGAACCUCGUGGGACCGUCAAGAAAAGAAAAAAACCACCCCGAGUGUGUUGGCCCCAGAAGAGGAGUUUUCAGCACGUGACCUGCGGCCGCGCUGCCUGGCCCGUUUCCCAGCGCUCGGUGAAAGGUAAGUGAGAAAGGAAGCUUGUUGUCAGCAGGCACAAGUCCAAGGGAUCGGCUGUGUGACCUGGAGAUGGCUCCAUGGGUGGGAGAAAAAAAGUGAAAAUGCCAAUCGGGACCCCUCCCACCCAGGAACAGGGAUAACCAGGGCGGCACCUCAUGGAGGUGAGGUUGCUUCAGAGGGCGACCACCCUUCACUUUGCUGUUGGUUUUUUGUUGUAUCAGGCUGAGCUAUACUCCCGUGUCGAUCUCUCCUUGGCCGUCUGUCUUCUAGGGGUUGAAAUAAAGGACUGUCA
This is a long non-coding RNA of Chroicocephalus ridibundus (black-headed gull), 7907 nucleotides long. RefSeq lists it as uncharacterized. The transcript has 4 exons. Lineage: Eukaryota; Metazoa; Chordata; Aves; Charadriiformes; Laridae. The record is from RefSeq and is a predicted model, not a curated record.